GACAUGAGAGGGAGAAGACAGGCUCCAUGCAGAGAGCCCAAUAUGGGACUUGAUCCCGGGUCUCCAGGAUCACACCCUAGGCCAAAGGCAGCACUAAACCGCUGAGCCACCUGGGCUGCCCACAUUUCAAGAUGUUAAAUAAGAAGUUCUCGCUGAGACAUCAAGAUAAAAUAUAUGACAAACAAGAGAAAUAAGCCAUAAGAGGAUAGAGAUCUUCAAAAGGAUUAUCUAAAAAGUGGUAACAGGCUUCAGAUCCUUCGCCUACGUUCAAGAUAGAAAGAGGGGCUCAAUAAAUAGCACCUGUCUUUCCCACCCAGGUUCUGAAUAAAUUGGGAAACAAAAUGAAAGGUAGCAGAGAGGCCAAAAUGCCUCCUUUGUUACUAAGAGACACUGAGCUGGAGGCUAGGGCUUUAGUAUGGCACCAAGUGCAGCUGCUCACCGACCCCAGGCUGACCUGAGCAGGACGGAUCCAUGGCUGAGGGUAGGAUCCGUGCCAGAGGCAGAAGAGGGCCCAGGCUAAGCUUUCCCAGUGACUGAAUAGUGUCAGGAAAUGGCACCAGGGUCUUACAACAAAAUAUCAGGGGGUCGAGGAUUGGGAGGGAAGAUAUGUGAAGAGAGUUUUUCUCUGGAGGGCCGUCUAGAAGCUCCUGUCACCUCCAAGUUGUUUUCUCACUGCAAAGUCUUCAUUCAGAGAGCUUCACGCACAUCUCCUGCAGCUUGGCGCGGGCUUGGGACUGGGCCAGCACGGGGAGGCCUGAGGGAGAGGGAAGAGGGAGAGGGAGAGACAGGAGGUGGGGGAAGAGGAAGGAACCGAGCUCCUGUCCAAUAGGGCCACCUAGAGGAGCUCUUAGGCUUCAGCAGGGAGCGGCUGGAGCGGUGACGCGGAGCUGAGGCUAGUUUCAGCUGAUGAAGGGACUUCAGGUGAGAGGCCCGGCGUGGGGGAUGGUGGGUCCCUGAGGCCCCGAGAGAGCGCCCCACCCCGGGCACGGGCGGCUCUCGAGUUCACAGCCUCGCUUAUAAAGAGAGAAGCUACCUACGAGCCCACCAAGCUGAGCUCAUUUGUGGUAUCUCUGCCUUUAUGAAGUGUGCCGCCUAAACCAGGACCAGGGAUGUUAAGAACACUGGAAACUCCCAUCUAAAGGAAGGCCAAGUCCCCUGAUGGCUUUGCUAUAUUUCCCCCUGGUGGCAUGCCGGAUGCAUAGCCACUCCUGGGCUACGUGCAAGUUAUGAACUCCAGAGGGAAAAUGAUAAAUGCACUUGAUCUCAGCCAAAAAGCCGAGAAGCGAUUGAUAAAUCAGUCACCGUAGUCUUCCUGUGAUCUCUUUCUCCUCGAAGCACUCUCCCAGCAAAUGUUAAUUACAGCUAUUGAUUCAGAAUCCAGAUAAAAGACUUUAAAUGAACAAGCCACCCAUUUGCGGAAAUCCCUGCCUGGAAAUCCUACCCCCAACCCCCGGUGGAGGCGAGAGGCAUGGCCAGCCCUGAUGCGUCUCUCAAGGAGUCUUCAGUGCUUCUGCUGGGCAGUCACAGGCAGGAGAAUCAGUAAUAGAUGAUGCCUUGCCCCCACGCUCCCUACUUGGCUAGCUGCGUCCGAGUUAAUAUCUAAGAUCUGGCAAAUAAAAGAAUCUUCAAAGAAAGUUGGACAUCUUGGAAAGAACUUUUAAAAUACCUCCUGUCUUCAUUUUAAGGAUGAAACCUUCUCUGAGGCCCAGAGAAGUUAAGCUACUGUCCACCCUGGCUCUCUUAACAGCUUGAGGUUCCAACCUCAGAUGGGCUAUAAAAUGUGUCCUGUGGAAGCCUGGGCAAGAGACAUUGCCUCUCUGAGCCUCAGUUUCCCCAAGUGAAAACUGAAGGACCCAUCACUAGGAGGCUCCUCAGCAGUGGAACCUUCACACACUGAGGGAGAUGGAGGAAACCCCUCUGAUUGUUGUCACCAGACACCUUGAUCUGUCCAGGACAACAGUGACCCCUUUGCCUAUCCUCUUACCAACGGUCCACCUCACUAAACCUUCAUGGCUGCAUUAAAUGAGAACCUCUAAUGAGGCGCAUGUGACUCGGGCUUGCCUCCAUAGAGAGCUUUCAUCCUUCAGUGGAACCCCAACAGGAAGAAGCGUACCUUACUAUCCCAGCAGGAGGAACGAAGAUUUUCUCUUGCUCAGCAACAGCCCCACCAAUGAGAAACCACCACAAUUCAGACCGAGGCUCAGAGGGCUGCAAGCAAUGAGGCAAUCAGCUCUGAGGAAAAACAAAAGACUGCUCACCCCAAGAGGAAGCAAAAGGUAGAGAAAAGAAACAAGCUCUCCUUUGUACGCAAAGCAGCAGCCUCACCCAGCCAGUUGUCACUUAUUCUCAAUCCGAGCUGGAGCACACCCUUUCUGUGCAUGGAACCCCUCAUGUCUCAAAAUGUAUUUGCUCUUUUCUUGAUCAUCAUUUAAGACAAUAACUGAAGUGAAUUCUGCUCGUAGGUUGUCUUCUCAACGGUAACGGUUUGUGUCUUGCUGUAUUUACAGCAUCCUUGGCUAUUUCAGAAAUACUUCUUUUAGAGUUCUUUGAGAUAAACAGUUGGUUAAAUUGGGGGGGGGCAGGAAAUGCAUUUUUUAGAGAAGACAUUUUGAAACAUCCACAAUGUCAUUGCGAUUAGUAGCACACAAAUACACAAUUUUACUGUAACUGUUGGGAAAAUCAAGGUUGUGAAGUAAAAUGAUUUUUUGAAAUCCGCUGCCAUAACAUGUUCAAUUUAAAAGUUAAUGCAGGGCAGCCCCGGGUGGCUCAGUGGUUUGGCGCCAUCUUCGGCCCAGGGCGUGAUCCUGGGAACCCGGGAUCGAGUCCCACAUCGGGCUCCCUGCAUGGAGCCUG
This is a long non-coding RNA of Canis lupus familiaris (dog), 2853 nucleotides long. RefSeq lists it as uncharacterized. NCBI's taxonomy places the organism in Eukaryota, Metazoa, Chordata, Mammalia, Carnivora, Canidae. The record is from RefSeq and is a predicted model, not a curated record. The transcript is spliced from 10 exons.